AUGUGGUCACUCGAAAGCUUUUGUCUUUUUUGUCCUGAGCAUUUUUCAAAAUAUAUGCUACAAGAAUUUCUUUUCCUGAUUGCAGAGUCAUACUCAGAGGCAGUCCGCUUACUAAAAAUAAUACAAGAGGACGAAGAUGGAGUUACUACAGACCCCGAGCAACUCGGCCGUGGUUGUCGGAGCCCCAAACGGAAGCGAAUUCUCUCAUCAUCGGAAGAAGAUAAUUCACAGGUCAAAAAAGCUAAAUUGAAAAUAGGCGGAGGAAGAAAAAAGUCAAGGGAAGUGCGCAGUAACGCGCAAAACCUAUGUACAUCAAGUUUACAGGAUUUUAAAAUCCCUCAUUGUAAAUCUUUUAGAAUUCCAUCGCCAACUUUAAGCUCAAGUAUUAAACAAAGUAAUUCCAAAGCUGGAAACCCAACAUAUGCCACAUCAACCCAAAAACCAUUUUUGUCACCUCUGAUGGACAUCAGCAACAUUUACCCAACCCUAAAUCUUACUGAUCAAGCAGAAAAAAACAAAGAAACUGGUCCUCUGAAAAACAGUGUGCCUCAAAAUCGACUUAAUCCAAGGCCUUUGCCGGUCAGAAGCAUCAAAGAAAGUCAUUCUUCGAAGAACACUGCUCCUCAGAAUCAAAAGCCCACAAAUCAAAGGCCUGCAGUGGCAAAAAUCGAUGGCAAUCAAUCUCGGCCAAAAAAUGUUCCUCAAAAUGGAAAUUCUGUGAACAAACGGCCCACGGUAGGAAAAAUUGUUUCUCAGAAUCGAAAUCUUAUUAACCAACGGCCCACAACAGGAAACGUCACAGUUGGAAAUCGAUCUCGGAUAAACAGUAUUCCUCAGAAUAGAAAUCCUCCGAAUCAACGACCAGCAGCAGCAAACAUUAAUAAAAAUGGAUCUGCGAUAAAGAAUGUUUCUCAGGUUCUCCGAGAUAUCAGAAAUAAUCUAAAUCGUCAACCUGCGGCAGGAAACAUCAACAGAAAUACAUCUCGGACUAAUACUGUUCCUAACCAGCACACUGAUGUUCCAAUAAUGUUGCUUCGUGUAGAAGGUAUGUGA
RNAcentral lists this long non-coding RNA (1053 nucleotides) under Bemisia tabaci. RNAcentral's name for it is "lncRNA ENSSSA1NGG004003". Lineage: Eukaryota; Metazoa; Arthropoda; Insecta; Hemiptera; Aleyrodidae. The record is from RNAcentral.